Molecule: ribosomal RNA, 391 nt
Filed under: Chlamydomonas sp. MACC 53
Lineage: Eukaryota; Viridiplantae; Chlorophyta; Chlorophyceae; Chlamydomonadales; Chlamydomonadaceae
Description: SSU rRNA
Rfam family: Eukaryotic small subunit ribosomal RNA
Source: RNAcentral
ACCAAGGUUGUUGCAGUUAAAAGCUCGUAGUUGGAUUUCGGGUGGGGUGGUGCGGUCCGCCUCUGGUGUGCACUGCUCUGCUCCACCUUCCUGCCGGGGACGGGCUCCUGGGCUUCACUGUCUGGGACUCGGAGUCGGCGAGGUUACUUUGAGUAAAUUAGAGUGUUCAAAGCAGGCCUACGCUCUGAAUACAUUAGCAUGGAAUAACACGAUAGGACUCUGGCCUAUCUGUUGGUCUGUGGGACCGGAGUAAUGAUUAAGAGGGGUAGUCGGGGGCAUUCGUAUUCCGUUGUCAGAGGUGAAAUUCUUGGAUUUACGGAAGACGAACAUCUGCGAAAGCAUUUGCCAAGGAUACUUUCAUUGAUCAAGAACGAAAGUUGGGGGCUCGAAG